Molecule: ribosomal RNA, 563 nt
Filed under: Staphylococcus sp.
Lineage: Bacteria; Bacillati; Bacillota; Bacilli; Caryophanales; Staphylococcaceae
Description: bacterial SSU rRNA
Rfam family: Bacterial small subunit ribosomal RNA
Source: RNAcentral
GAAAAUCUGACGGAGCAACGCCGCGUGAGUGAUGAAGGUUUUCGGAUCGUAAAACUCUGUUAUUAGGGAAGAACAAAUGUGUAAGUAACUGUGCACAUCUUGACGGUACCUAAUCAGAAAGCCACGGCUAACUACGUGCCAGCAGCCGCGGUAAUACGUAGGUGGCAAGCGUUAUCCGGAAUUAUUGGGCGUAAAGCGCGCGUAGGCGGUUUCUUAAGUCUGAUGUGAAAGCCCACGGCUCAACCGUGGAGGGUCAUUGGAAACUGGGAAACUUGAGUACAGAAGAGGAAAGUGGAAUUCCAUGUGUAGCGGUGAAAUGCGCAGAGAUAUGGAGGAACACCAGUGGCGAAGGCGACUUUCUGGUCUGUAACUGACGCUGAUGUGCGAAAGCGUGGGGAUCAAACAGGAUUAGAUACCCUGGUAGUCCACGCCGUAAACGAUGAGUGCUAAGUGUUAGGGGGUUUCCGCCCCUUAGUGCUGCAGCUAACGCAUUAAGCACUCCGCCUGGGGAGUACGACCGCAAGGUUGAAACUCAAAGGAAUUGACGGGGGCCCCGCACAAGA